UCUUUCCUCCCAAGUGCUUGCACUCAAUUGGAAAGAGGAGUGGCGGACGGGUGAGUAACACGUGGGUAACCUACCCAUCAGAGGGGGAUAACACUUGGAAACAGGUGCUAAUACCGCAUAACAGUUUAUGCCGCAUGGCAUAAGAGUGAAAGGCGCUUUCGGGUGUCGCUGAUGGAUGGACCCGCGGUGCAUUAGCUAGUUGGUGAGGUAACGGCUCACCAAGGCCACGAUGCAUAGCCGACCUGAGAGGGUGAUCGGCCACACUGGGACUGAGACACGGCCCAGACUCCUACGGGAGGCAGCAGUAGGGAAUCUUCGGCAAUGGACGAAAGUCUGACCGAGCAACGCUGCGUGAGUGAAGAAGGUUUUCGGAUCGUAAAACUCUGUUGUUAGAGAAGAACAAGGACGUUAGUAACUGAACGUCCCCUGACGGUAUCUAACCAGAAAGCCACGGCUAACUACGUGCCAGCAGCCGCGGUAAUACGUAGGUGGCAAGCGUUGUCCGGAUUUAUUGGGCGUAAAGCGAGCGCAGGCGGUUUCUUAAGUCUGAUGUGAAAGCCCCCGGCUCAACCGGGGAGGGUCAUUGGAAACUGGGAGACUUGAGUGCAGAAGAGGAGAGUGGAAUUCCAUGUGUAGCGGUGAAAUGCGUAGAUAUAUGGAGGAACACCAGUGGCGAAGGCGGCUCUCUGGUCUG
RNAcentral lists this ribosomal RNA (694 nucleotides) under uncultured Enterococcus sp. Its description in RNAcentral is "bacterial SSU rRNA". It matches the Rfam family "Bacterial small subunit ribosomal RNA", at positions 69 to 736 of the family's 1533-position model. The record is from RNAcentral. Lineage: Bacteria; Bacillati; Bacillota; Bacilli; Lactobacillales; Enterococcaceae.